This 429-nucleotide long non-coding RNA is filed under the name Equus asinus (donkey). RNAcentral's name for it is "lncRNA (ENSEASG00005033256.1)". Lineage: Eukaryota; Metazoa; Chordata; Mammalia; Perissodactyla; Equidae. The record is from RNAcentral.
CUGUCUCCCAGGCCUGAGCCUUGCAGGGAUUGUUCCCCCUGUCAAGGUCUCAUAACUAGGCUGCAUUCCCUUUGUGACCUCAGUUUACCCAUUUGUGAAAUAAGAGGGUUGGACAAGGUGACCUGUUGGAGGCUUCCAGAACUCAGCCCCCAAGACUGUGGUGCUAAACACAUUGGGAAGCUCACAGUGUUCCCCAGGGAAUGGGGUCCAGUAGAUUCAGUGACAGAGAUUUGACUCAAACUAGCUUGAGCAAAACCACAAUGAGUUGGCUCCUACAGCUGGGAAGAGAGAGCUGCCAGGUUUUCUUCAAAGGAUCCCAGUGAUGACCUCUGGUGCCCUGAGUCCACAUCCUUAUGGCUUGUGAUCAAAGAGAAGAGAAGCUCCUUUCUCCAGCUUCCGCCUAAUAAAUCUUGUGAAGUCGCUGAUGGA